UAUCAUCAGAAGCCCAUGCCUCUGUGGCAAGGUGCUCCUGGACUUGGAUGUGCUGCUGGGCGACCCCGCCUGGCUCAUCCGAAAUGCAUUAGCGAGAGAUGUAGGCUCUGCCGGCUCUCUUUGGCGUGAUAAGGUCACCCGUCGAGAGGCCCCGGUGGCGAGGCUUGCAGCCCUUUUGCUUCCAACCGUCCCUUGCGGACAACAGCAGACUCUGGUCUGAC
RNAcentral lists this unclassified non-coding RNA (221 nucleotides) under uncultured Botryobasidium. RNAcentral describes it as "sequence contains ITS2". The record is from RNAcentral. Lineage: Eukaryota; Fungi; Basidiomycota; Agaricomycetes; Cantharellales; Botryobasidiaceae.